AAUCACUUGUUUGCGAUGAGGAUUUAACUAUUUGCGGCAACACUAAAUCGUGUCAAAAAGAUCACAAUCACCGACGGCAAGUAGCGAAAAGCGUAAUCCCUAUAGUUUAAAGGCCCCUCUGACCCACCCCCGGGCGUCUCUCUCUCUCCCCUUGUAUCGCUGCAACCCCUAGCCGUCGCCGAUAGCAGCCUUCGUCACAUAGUUUUAACUUUAGCCUCUUCAUCGUUUCGUUUUCAGACGACAAAGCUCAAAAUUCAUCUCCCCUUGGUUCCCUCCCUCUCUGCUCCUCUCUCGAGUCUGAAAAAUAGCAAAGGAAGAUCCGUGUAAACUGCACUGCACUGCGCUCCUCUCCUCUCCUCUCCUUCGAUGGAUCUUCACACCACUACGGUACCCUCUAUUAUUUCCUUCCCCUAAACCUUUCUUACAAACCCAUCUUGUCUUCUCUUUCAUCUCUUCCUCGUCUCUCUCUCACCUGAUUCUACCAUUCCUAAUUCUCAGACCAAUCUGAUCUAUUUGCAUCUGACCUCAUCACCAGUUUCUAAAAGGUCAAUCUUUUUCUUUCCCAAAUUUUUUUGCUUUUUUUAAUGAAAAAGAAAGUUAUUUUUAGAGGGUGGGUGAAUUUGCUUUGGAUCCAGUGAUAAAUCCCGAGCUUCGUUGUUGGAAAACUGGCUUCGAGAAUGAUGUGAAAGCUCAGGAAUGGUUCCUCCCUCGAAUGCUCUCCGGAUUUGUAAUCUGAGAAUGUUUUCUUGUUGGGAAAAAGUUAGAAGUUAUAAUUUAUGGUAUAAAGUAAGGGAAAAAAAGUCGAAGAGAGAGCGAGAUCGCAAACAAGGCAACCGCAAAAGAUCAGAAAUUCAAAACCCCCGCAGAAGUUUAAUCCGCAAGUAAGGAUCGAAUUCUGAAAUCUUUUUACAAUUAUCUAUGUAUAGAUUGCUAUAACUAGGACCAUCAGUGAUUAUUGUCGUUAAUAGUAUCGUUCUUCCAAGAACUAGUCAUAAUUUUUGGCGGUUUGAUUGCUGCUGAGUAAAUUGUAAUUAUUGGGGUGGUGAAUUUAUGGGGCAAUGGCGACUCUGGUUUGAUAGAGGUGGAGACAAAAUUGUAAAUUUGCUAUUAAAUCUUUUAGAAGAUAAGUCGGCAGCCACCAUUUUCUGCUUAUGCUCAUCCAAUGGCAUGUUUUCUUACGUACAAAAAUAGCCACUUUCUUUGACUUGUUGCUGCUGCCGACUUACAAGCUAUGGCCAAUUCACUUCCUUCUUAAGUCUUGGUGCUGCAAGUGAUAAAAGGAAGCCCAUUGGAUGGUCAACCAUUCAAACAGCAUCAAUUAACCGCCUCUCAAUAUGCCUAGUUUAUUGCGUGGCGUGUGAGUUCUAUAUUAGUGUGCUGAAAAUAGAGUGCCAAGUGAGGAUAUUUAAGAUAGAGUUUGUUAUUCUGUGUGAGGGAGAGAGUUUGUUACAUCUGGGUAACUCCUGUGUAACUCAUCUUUGUAAUCCUCUGUUUUUACUUUUAUAGAAAGCCGCGAUAUUUUUUUCUGUAGUGAAAUCUUUGUCCAAUUUUUGCCAUCUUUUGAAAUAUCCUGGGCAUCAAUAAUCCCCAACAUGGUUGAGCCUCCGAAUGGAGUUAGGCAACAAUGGAAGCAUUACUACUCAAUGUGGCAAAUGUUGUUUGAGAUCGACACCAAGUACGCGCCGAUCAAACCCAUAGGUAGAGGGGCAUAUGGUGCUCCUCCAUCAACAAUGAGAAAGUUGCCAUCAGGAAGAUCAACAAUGUCUUUGAGAACCGCAUUGAUGCGCUUAGAAUGCUGGGGGAGUUGAAGCUUCUUUGACAUAUUCGACACGAGAAUGUCAUUGCUUUGAAGGAUGUUAUGAUGCCUAUUCAUCGGACAAGUUUCAAGGACAUGUAUUUGGUUUACAAACUUAUGGAUACUGAUCUUCAUCAGAUUAUUAAGUCCUCACAGCCGCUUUCUGGCGAUCAUUGCAAAUAUUUCUUGUUUCAGCCAAAACCAAGCUGAUAUUGAAUUCAUUAACAAUCCCAAGGCCUGGAAGUUCAUCAAAUCAUUGCCCUUUUCAAGUGGGAUGCAAUUUUCACUGAGACACUCCAACACUCUCGCAUGUCAGAGCUGUAUGAUCCAAGAAACAAUCCUCUUGCCCAGGUCCCAAUUAAUCUUGACAUAGAUGAAACUUUUGGAGAACAGAUGAUUAGGGAGAUGAUGUUGAAUGAGAGCGGCUGAGAUUGAGAAGAGAGAGAUGGUGCAAUCCAGUAGAUGUUUAUUUAGAAUGUAAUGUAAAUGCAAUGUAAAUAUUGGAUUUCAUGUUUGUUAAGCAUUGUAGAAUGCAAUUAUAUUAGCACUUUGUUGGUCU
This is a long non-coding RNA of Carya illinoinensis, 2354 nucleotides long. RefSeq lists it as uncharacterized. The transcript has 3 exons. The record is from RefSeq and is a predicted model, not a curated record. Lineage: Eukaryota; Viridiplantae; Streptophyta; Magnoliopsida; Fagales; Juglandaceae.